RNAcentral lists this ribosomal RNA (640 nucleotides) under uncultured beta proteobacterium. RNAcentral's name for it is "bacterial SSU rRNA". It matches the Rfam family "Bacterial small subunit ribosomal RNA", at positions 127 to 762 of the family's 1533-position model. The record is from RNAcentral. Lineage: Bacteria; Pseudomonadati; Pseudomonadota; Betaproteobacteria.
UACCCUGUUGUGGGGGGUAACUAGUCGAAAGAUUAGCUAAUACCGCAUACGACCUGAGGGUGAAAGCGGGGGACCGUAAGGCCUCGCGCAGCAGGAGCGGCCGAUGUCUGAUUAGCUAGUUGGUGGGGUAAAGGCCCACCAAGGCGACGAUCAGUAGCUGGUCUGAGAGGACGAUCAGCCACACUGGGACUGAGACACGGCCCAGACUCCUACGGGAGGCAGCAGUGGGGAAUUUUGGACAAUGGGGGCAACCCUGAUCCAGCAAUGCCGCGUGUGUGAAGAAGGCCUUCGGGUUGUAAAGCACUUUUGUCCGGAAAGAAAACGUUCUGGUUAAUACCUGGGGCGGAUGACGGUACCGGAAGAAUAAGCACCGGCUAACUACGUGCCAGCAGCCGCGGUAAUACGUAGGGUGCGAGCGUUAAUCGGAAUUACUGGGCGUAAAGCGUGCGCAGGCGGUUUUGUAAGACAGGCGUGAAAUCCCCGAGCUCAACUUGGGAAUUGCGCUUGUGACUGCAAGGCUAGAGUAUGUCAGAGGGGGGUAGAAUUCCACGUGUAGCAGUGAAAUGCGUAGAGAUGUGGAGGAAUACCGAUGGCGAAGGCAGCCCCCUGGGACAUCACUGACGCUCAUGCACGAAAGCGU